GAUGAAGAACGUAGCGAAAUGCGAUAAGUAAUGUGAGUUGCAGAAUUCAGUGAAUCAUCGAAUCUUUGAACGCACAUUGCGCCCCCUGGUAUUCCGGGGGGCAUGCCUGUCCGAGCGUCAUUGCAACCUUCAAGCGCGGCUUGUGUGUUGGGUCUCGUCCCCCGUGGACGGGCCCGAAAGGCAGUGGCGGCGUCCCGACAUGGUGCCCGAGCGUAUGGGAAUCCUCUUCCGCUCGAAUCGGCCCAUGCGGCGCUGGUCGUAACCAAAUUUUUUACCGGUUGACCUCGGAUCAGGUAGGGAUACCCGCUGAACUUAAGCAUAUCAAUAAGCGGAGGA
RNAcentral lists this unclassified non-coding RNA (336 nucleotides) under soil metagenome. Its description in RNAcentral is "partial contains 5.8S ribosomal RNA, internal transcribed spacer 2, and large subunit ribosomal RNA". The stretch from base 1 to 120 matches the Rfam family "5.8S ribosomal RNA", at positions 35 to 154 of the family's 154-position model. The record is from RNAcentral.